RNAcentral lists this ribosomal RNA (622 nucleotides) under uncultured marine archaeon. Its description in RNAcentral is "bacterial SSU rRNA". It matches the Rfam family "Archaeal small subunit ribosomal RNA", at positions 20 to 648 of the family's 1478-position model. The record is from RNAcentral.
GCACUGACUGCUAUCGGAUUGAUACUAAGCCAUGCGAGUCAUUGUAGUAAUACAAGGCAGACGGCUCAGUAACGCGUAGUCAACCUAACCUAUGGACGGGGAUAAUCUCGGGAAACUGAGCAUAAUACCCGAUAGAACAUUAUGCCUGGAAUGGUUUAUGUUCCAAAUGAUUUAUCGCCGUAGGAUGGGACUGCGGCCUAUCAGUUUGUUGGUGAGGUAAUGGCCCACCAAGACUAUUACAGGUACGGGCUCUGAGAGGAGUAGCCCGGAGAUGGGUACUGAGACACGGACCCAGGCCCUAUGGGGCGCAGCAGGCGAGAAAACUUUGCAAUGUGCGAAAGCACGACAAGGUUAAUCCGAGUGGUUUCUGCUAAAGGAACCUUUUGUCGGUCCUAGAAACACCGAUGAAUAAGGGGUGGGCAAGUUCUGGUGUCAGCCGCCGCGGUAAAACCAGCACCUCAAGUGGUCAGGAUGAUUAUUGGGCCUAAAGCAUCCGUAGCCGGCUCUAUUAGUUUUCGGUUAAAUCUGUACGCUCAACGUACAGGCUGCCGGGAAUACUGUAGAGCUAGGGAGUGGGAGAGGUAGACGGUACUCGGUAGGAAGGGGUAAAAUCCUUUGAUCU